AUUUUCUGUAAGAAAUCUUUAUCCAUGACUCCAGGAUAUUUGUAUAUUUUCCUUCUGGAAGCAUUGUCAUUUCAAUUUUUUUAUUUAGGUCUAAAACCUGACUUUAAUUAAUUUAUAAACGUAAUCUAAGGAUGCUGAUGUUUCCAUAGUUACAUACUUGAUCCAUCUGUUGAAAAGAUUUUCUGUUCCCUACUAAAGUGCCUCCGAACGUCUGUCCAAAAAAAUCAAUAGUGUAUGAAUGGCCUAUUUCUGGACUCUCAUUUCUACUCCAUUUAUCUAUAUGUCUAUUUUUAUGCAGACUGUUUUAAAUACUAGCUUUGUAAUACAACUGCAAGUGAGAUAAUAUCAUCUUCCAACUCUUUUCUUGUUUAACAGUUGUUUUGGUUAGUGCAGAUUCUUUGCUUUUUAAUAUAUAGAAGAUAGCCGUUAUUUGUCAUAGUUAUAUUUUAUAAUAUUAUCACAAACAUUGGAUUAUUGUUCCUGGAGGAACUCAAGGAAUGUGUUCCCGUGAGCCUCUGGCCACAAUGUCUUUGUCACCAAUCCAUAACAACUCUGUGCUGUGUGUCCCCCACUCCCCUCCUCACUCCGCAGUAUGGGGAACUGAACCUAGGAGUGUAGCGCUACAUCCCCAGCCCUUUUUAUUCUUUUAAGACAAGGUGUCACCAAGUUGCCCAGGCUGGCUUAGAACUUGGGGCCCUCUUGCCUUACCCUCCUAAAUAGCGGGGAUCACAGGCAUGCACCACCUUGCCUGUCGUGUGUUUCGCUUGAAGACUUGGGCCUGAGUGAAGCCUAUUUAACACAUAUAUUUCCUCUAUUAAGAUACAUCACGGUCUUCCUAGACUUGGGGACACUAGACGGCACUCACUAUGCUUGGAAGACAUUCAAAACAGUAAAAUCACUGCAACACUAAAAUGUGAAAACUGGCCUUAAACAUCCUCUCUGAAAAAGACAACUGUUUCCAAGAUGCGAACUAAAGCAGGAAGGCAGGGUGUUGCCACAGCCCUGUUCAGCCUCAGCUAGGAACGUACAUACGGAAAAGCUUUGUAAUGAAGUGGUACUAGGAAAUGCCUGAAAUCUGAAGAGAAAUGAAUUGUGACAACACAUGAAGUCUAGUAUGAAUGGACUUGCUGUGAAUUUUUACUGAUUAAGCCCGUUUACUGAUUAAGCCCGAUGAUUGAUGAAGAGUUACACCGGUCAUCAUCCCUGGAAAACAGAGUAGUAGAUACUUUAUAAUCAGGUUGGUAGAAGCUAUAAAACUCUUUUAUCUCUGCUGUGCAAAGAGGUUUUAUGAUAAGAACUUUAUACCUUGCAUGAAGAGGAAGGUAAAAGAGCUUUUGCCUUCAUUUAAUGGAACAUUGUCUGCCUUGUUUCCUUGUCUAUUUUAUAGUCAAAAUUCUUAGAGCAUAUAUAAAUUAAUGAAUUUUCCAAUAAAAUCCAGAUCAUACAAAUAGAAUUUGUAUUUAACUGAGUCCAGGUUAUUAAUAAACUUUUUGGCCUUUUCUUUCGAAACAAUUAUAAAGAGCACAAUUGAUAAUAACUAGAAAAAAAGAAAAAAUGUAUCACCACAAUGAUGAUCUUAAGAAUUAUGACUGUGUAAAAUCACAGUAAGGCAGACUGAAAACAGUAGACAAAUAUAAAAUUCACACCAGGCAUAGUGAUGUACACCUGGAGACUGAGGCCAGAGGAUCACUGGAAGGUGGAGGCCAGCCUGGGCUACAUAGCAAGAUCCUAUUUCAAAAAAACAAAAAACAGAAAAACCAUAAACAAACAAAACAAAA
Long non-coding RNA from Cavia porcellus (domestic guinea pig), 1778 nucleotides. RefSeq lists it as uncharacterized. The transcript is spliced from 2 exons. NCBI's taxonomy places the organism in Eukaryota, Metazoa, Chordata, Mammalia, Rodentia, Caviidae. The record is from RefSeq and is a predicted model, not a curated record.